GACGAACGCUGGCGGCGUGCCUAAUACAUGCAAGUAGAACGCUGAAGAGAGGAGCUUCCUCUUCUUGGGUGAGUUGCGAACGGGUGAGUAACGCGUAGGUAACCUGCCUUGUAGCGGGGGAUAACUAUUGGAAACGAUAGCUAAUACCGCAUAACAAUGGAUGACACAUGUCCUUUAUUUGAAAGGGGCAAUUGCUCCACUACAAGAUGGACCUGCGUUGUAUUAGCUAGUAGGUGAGGUAAUGGCUCACCUAGGCGACGAUACAUAGCCGACCUGAGAGGGUGAUCGGCCACACUGGGACUGAGACACGGCCCAGACUCCUACGGGAGGCAGCAGUAGGGAAUCUUCGGCAAUGGGGGCAACCCUGACCGAGCAACGCCGCGUGAGUGAAGAAGGUUUUCGGAUCGUAAAGCUCUGUUGUAAGUCAAGAACGGGUGUGAGAGUGGAAAGUUCACACUGUGACGGUAGCUUACCAGAAAGGGACGGCUAACUACGUG
RNAcentral lists this ribosomal RNA (497 nucleotides) under uncultured bacterium. Its description in RNAcentral is "partial 16S ribosomal RNA". It matches the Rfam family "Bacterial small subunit ribosomal RNA", at positions 28 to 507 of the family's 1533-position model. The record is from RNAcentral.